CCUACGGGAGGCAGCAGUGGGGAAUUUUGGACAAUGGGCGAAAGCCUGAUCCAGCAAUGCCGCGUGAGUGAAGAAGGCCUUCGGGUUGUAAAGCUCUUUUGUCAGGGAAGAAACGGUGAAAGCUAAUAUCUUUUGCUAAUGACGGUACCUGAAGAAUAAGCACCGGCUAACUACGUGCCAGCAGCCGCGGUAAUACGUAGGGUGCAAGCGUUAAUCGGAAUUACUGGGCGUAAAGCGUGCGCAGGCGGUUUUGUAAGUCUGAUGUGAAAUCCCCGGGCUCAACCUGGGAAUUGCAUUGGAGACUGCAAGGCUAGAAUCUGGCAGAGGGGGGUAGAAUUCCACGUGUAGCAGUGAAAUGCGUAGAUAUGUGGAGGAACACCGAUGGCGAAGGCAGCCCCCUGGGUCAAGAUUGACGCUCAUGCACGAAAGCGUGGGGAGCAAACAGGAUUAGAUACCCUGGUAGUCCACGCCCUAAACGAUGUCUACUAGUUGUCGGGUCUUAAUUGACUUGGUAACGCAGCUACGCGUGAGUAGACCGCCGUCGGGAGGUACGGUCGCGAGAGUUAAACGUAACGAAAGAAAGUUAGUACGGCGUGAGACGUAGACCGACGGACGACGACGAGGGGAGGAGG
This 632-nucleotide ribosomal RNA is filed under the name uncultured bacterium. Its description in RNAcentral is "bacterial SSU rRNA". The stretch from base 1 to 540 matches the Rfam family "Bacterial small subunit ribosomal RNA", at positions 338 to 873 of the family's 1533-position model. The record is from RNAcentral.